GAUGAAGAACGCAGCGAAAUGCGAUACGUAAUGUGAAUUGCAGAAUUCAGUGAAUCAUCGAAUCUUUGAACGCAUAUUGCGCUCUCUGGUAUUCCGGAGAGCAUGCUUGUUUGAGUAUCAGUAAACACCUCAACUCCCCUUUCUUUUUUUGAAAUGGGAGCUGGACUUGAGUGAUCCCAACGCUUUUCUCACCGAAAAGUGGCGGGUUACUUGAAAUGCAGGUGCAGCUGGACUUUUCUCUGAGCUAAAAGCAUAUCUAUUUAGUCUGCCUAAAAAACAGAUUAUUACCUUUGCUGCAGCUAACAUAAAGGAGAUUAGUUCUUGUGCUGACUGAUGCAGGAUUCACAGAGACAGCUUCGGCUGGCCUUUGUAAACUCGAUCUCAAAUCAAGUAAGACUACCCGCUGAACUUAAGAAUAUCAAUAAGCGGAGGA
RNAcentral lists this unclassified non-coding RNA (433 nucleotides) under soil metagenome. RNAcentral's name for it is "partial contains 5.8S ribosomal RNA, internal transcribed spacer 2, and large subunit ribosomal RNA". The stretch from base 1 to 120 matches the Rfam family "5.8S ribosomal RNA", at positions 35 to 154 of the family's 154-position model. The record is from RNAcentral.